AGAGUUUGAUCCUGGCUCAGAUUGAACGCUGGCGGCAGUGCCUAACACAUGCAAGUCGAGCGAGAAAGUUCUUCGGAACGAGUACAGCGGCGGACGGGUGAGUAACGCGUAGUGAAUCUACCUGGUAGCUGGGGGACAACAUGUGGAAACGCAUGCUAAUACCGCAUACGACCUAAGGGUGAAAGUGGGGGACCUUCGGGCCUCACAGCUAUCGGAUGAGCCAUGCGUAGGAUUCAGCUAGUUGGUGGGGUAAAGGCUCACCAAGGACGACUGAUCCUUAGCUGGUCUCGAGAGGAUGAUCAGCCACACUGGGACUGAGACACGGCCCAAGACUCCUACGGGAGGCAGCAGUGGGGAAUAUUGCGCAUGGGGGCAACCCUGAUCCAGCCAUGCCGCGUGUGUGAAGAAGGCCUUCGGGUUGUAAAGCACUUUCAGCGAGGAGGAAGGGGUGGUAGCGUAAUACGCUGCAGCCGUGACGUUACUCGCAUAAGAAGGACCGGCUAACUCCGUGCCAGCAGCCGCGGUAAUACGGAGGGUCCGAGCGUUAAUCGGAAUUACUGGGCGUAAAGCGCGCGUAGGCGGUUAGAUCAGUCAGAUGUGAAAGCCCUGGGCUCAACCUGGGAACUGCAUCUGAUACUGUCUAACUAGAGUUUGGUAGAGGAGUGUGGAAUUUCCUGUGUAGCGGUGAAAUGCGUAGAUAUAGGAAGGAACACCAGUGGCGAAGGCGACUUACUGGACCAAUACUGACACUGAGGUGCGAAAGCGUGGGGAGCAAACGGGAUUAGAUACCCUGGUAGUCCACGCCGUAAACGAUGUCUACUAGCCGUUGGGAGACUUGAUCUCUUAGUGGCGCAGCUAACGCAAUAAGUAGACCGCCUGGGGAGUACGGCCGCAAGGUUAAAACUCAAAUGAAUUGACGGGGGCCCGCACAUGCUCCACCGCUGGAGCAUGUGGUUUAAUUCGAUACAACGCGAAGAACCUUACCAGGUCUUGACAUCCUACUAAGUUUCCAGAGAUGGAUUCGUGCCUUCGGGAAAGUAGUGACAGGUGCUGCAUGGCUGUCGUCAGCUCGUGUCGUGAGAUGUUGGGUUAAGUCCCGUAACGAGCGCAACCCUUGUCCUUAGUUGCUAGCAGGUAAUGCUGAGAACUCUAAGGAGACUGCCGGUGACAAACCGGAGGAAGGUGGGGACGACGUCAAGUCAUCAUGGCCCUUACGACCUGGGCUACACACGUGCUACAAUGGACGGUACAAAGGGCUGCAAUACCGCGAGGUGGAGCGAAUCCCAUAAAACCGUUCGUAGUCCGGAUUGGAGUCUGCAACUCGACUCCAUGAAGUCGGAAUCGCUAGUAAUCGUGGAUCAGAAUGCCACGGUGAAUACGUUCCCGGGCCUUGUACACACCGCCCGUCACACCAUGGGAUUGGAUUGCACCAGAAGUAGUUAGUCUAACCUUCGGGAGGACGAUUACCACGGUGUGGUUCAUGACUGGUGUGAAGUCGUAACAAGGUAGCC
RNAcentral lists this ribosomal RNA (1511 nucleotides) under uncultured prokaryote. RNAcentral describes it as "partial 16S ribosomal RNA". It matches the Rfam family "Bacterial small subunit ribosomal RNA". The record is from RNAcentral.